Molecule: long non-coding RNA, 1699 nt
Organism: Mastomys coucha (southern multimammate mouse)
Lineage: Eukaryota; Metazoa; Chordata; Mammalia; Rodentia; Muridae
Exons: 2
Source: RefSeq, a predicted model, not a curated record
CAUUCCAGCCUCUCCAUAUCACUGCAGUUCCGAUCAGUCAGUCGGCCUUUGCAGAUGUGGUGUGGACGGGAUCCCAAGCAGAGGGACAGUUAGUGUGAAGAGCUUAGGCAGGAAGGGGAGGACCAUGAUUGGGGUAAUGGGCAGGUGGGAAAGGAGCAGCCAGGAGUAGGAUGAGAGAGGCCGUUACUGCUGGAAGUGCGGCUGAGCUCCUGAGUGGUAGGCAGUGCCACUCCGGUAGUAAAUGGCCUUGCUGUGUCCCAGCUGGAAAAGAGUUCUUGAAGAUGCACACACCUGAGUUGUGCGGUUCUUUACAUCCCUCUCUUGUCCCCAAGUAAGAGAAGCAUGAAUCUUGCCUCCCAGAGGUGUUAAUGUCUGCUCUGUAGCACAAGCCCUAGUGAUCCCCUGUGACUCAAGAUCCCUGAACACAGUAGCGUAAACUGCAUGUCAGUGGCUUCUUUUAAAUCUCCAGCAGGCUGAGUGUGGUAGUUCACACUCUCAUCAUUGUGAGUUCAAGGCCAGCCUUAUCUACAUAGAGAAUUCCAGGAUAGCCAGGACUACAUAAAGAGAUACUGUCUCAAAACAUCAAACAACACAGAAAAACCCUGUCUUGAAAAACCAAUGAAACAAAACAAAGUCACUAGCAGGAGAUGGAGGGUUAGCUCAGUUGAAAUUUGUGAGGACUGAACUUCUGUACGGAAAAACACACUAAUAAUUCACAGGCAAUUAAAGUACUCAAAAAUAUGAAAUUGUGUUGUUUAUCAGGCAGUGUGACUCUGUCAUAACGGGGCCUAAAACUUAAGCAAACUAAAAUCUCAUGCAAUAGCCAACUUUAUUCAUUGCAUCAGACGAUUUAUACUCUGAGGGUUAAGAAGUGUCACCUGAGUAAAGUGUCAGUCACAAGGACAAGACCCACAUUGCAAAAUCAUGUCUUUUGUAAAAGCAUGUGAACAAGUAACAAUAGCCAGUGGCCAUGAGUAAUCUAGAGUAAACUCACCUCCAUUCACCUCCACCUGCUAUACUUGGUAGGCCCAAAGGCACAUUCAAGAACAAUCCUGGGUCUCGAUGGAACUGAGGAACCAAGACUCUUGUUUUCUCACAAGCACUCAGAAUUCUCACAGAACUCCAUUCUUGGAAUGUGUCUUGACAUCAUGUUUUAAACUAAAUAUUUAACUAAACACCGGGCAUCAAAACAGUGCAAUUAGAAGAAUGGGAUACCAUUUCUUUACUUACACGUGGGAAGAUUUUUUUUGAUGAUGAUGAUGAUGGUGGUGAUGAUCAUGGUGGUAGUGAUGGUGGUGGUGAUGGUGAUGAUGAUGAUGAUGAUAAUGAUGAUGUGGUCAGAAUGAGAAUCCUGCUCAAAGCAGCUGAGUACCAGCUUUGGGGAAGAAAUUUAGAAGUGUAUACAGCCUCACCAAACUUACAGAAGCUGCAGCUCCCAAGAGCCACAGUGAAUACGCCAAUGGUACUUAUGCGAUAACAAUAGGAACCUGCGGAAGCUUGGCCAGAAGACCACACAGCUGAAGUUGCCACAACACAGUGAGAGUCAUGAGAAUGAUUGUCCUCCACCAGCGUCUUUCAGUUCUGGGAGAAAUGAAUGGUGUUCCAGCAGCAUGCAAGCGCACAAGUGCAUGGAAGACCAUUGACUGUAGCAAAAAAGGAGUUCACUUUUUCAUUGUAAAAUAAAAUUUUAUGGGACAGC